GGUUAAGCGACUAAGCGUACACGGUGGAUGCCCUGGCAGUCAGAGGCGAUGAAGGACGUGCUAAUCUGCGAUAAGCGUCGGUAAGGUGAUAUGAACCGUUAUAACCGGCGAUUUCCGAAUGGGGAAACCCAGUGUGUUUCGACACACUAUCAUUAACUGAAUCCAUAGGUUAAUGAGGCGAACCGGGGGAACUGAAACAUCUAAGUACCCCGAGGAAAAGAAAUCAACCGAGAUUCCCCCAGUAGCGGCGAGCGAACGGGGAGCAGCCCAGAGCCUGAAUCAGUGUGUGUGUUAGUGGAAGCGUCUGGAAAGGCGCGCGAUACAGGGUGACAGCCCCGUACACAAAAAUGCACAUACUGUGAGCUCGAUGAGUAGGGCGGGACACGUGGUAUCCUGUCUGAAUAUGGGGGGACCAUCCUCCAAGGCUAAAUACUCCUGACUGACCGAUAGUGAACCAGUACCGUGAGGGAAAGGCGAAAAGAACCCCGGCGAGGGGAGUGAAAAAGAACCUGAAACCGUGUACGUACAAGCAGUGGGAGCACAGAGCAAUCUGUGUGACUGCGUACCUUUUGUAUAAUGGGUCAGCGACUUAUAUUCUGUAGCAAGGUUAACCGAAUAGGGGAGCCGAAGGGAAACCGAGUCUUAACUGGGCGUUAAGUUGCAGGGUAUAGACCCGAAACCCGGUGAUCUAGCCAUGGGCAGGUUGAAGGUUGGGUAACACUAACUGGAGGACCGAACCGACUAAUGUUGAAAAAUUAGCGGAUGACUUGUGGCUGGGGGUGAAAGGCCAAUCAAACCGGGAGAUAGCUGGUUCUCCCCGAAAGCUAUUUAGGUAGCGCCUCGUGAAUUCAUCUCCGGGGGUAGAGCACUGUUUCGGCAAGGGGGUCAUCCCGACUUACCAACCCGAUGCAAACUGCGAAUACCGGAGAAUGUUAUCACGGGAGACACACGGCGGGUGCUAACGUCCGUCGUGAAGAGGGAAACAACCCAGACCGCCAGCUAAGGUCCCAAAGUCAUGGUUAAGUGGGAAACGAUGUGGGAAGGCCCAGACAGCCAGGAUGUUGGCUUAGAAGCAGCCAUCAUUUAAAGAAAGCGUAAUAGCUCACUGGUCGAGUCGGCCUGCGCGGAAGAUGUAACGGGGCUAAACCAUGCACCGAAGCUGCGGCAGCGACGCUUAUGCGUUGUUGGGUAGGGGAGCGUUCUGUAAGCCUGUGAAGGUGUGCUGUGAGGCAUGCUGGAGGUAUCAGAAGUGCGAAUGCUGACAUAAGUAACGAUAAAGCGGGUGAAAAGCCCGCUCGCCGGAAGACCAAGGGUUCCUGUCCAACGUUAAUCGGGGCAGGGUGAGUCGACCCCUAAGGCGAGGCCGAAAGGCGUAGUCGAUGGGAAACAGGUUAAUAUUCCUGUACUUGGUGUUACUGCGAAGGGGGGACGGAGAAGGCUAUGUUGGCCGGGCGACGGUUGUCCCGGUUUAAGCGUGUAGGCUGGUUUUCCAGGCAAAUCCGGAAAAUCAAGGCUGAGGCGUGAUGACGAGGCACUACGGUGCUGAAGCAACAAAUGCCCUGCUUCCAGGAAAAGCCUCUAAGCAUCAGGUAACAUCAAAUCGUACCCCAAACCGACACAGGUGGUCAGGUAGAGAAUACCAAGGCGCUUGAGAGAACUCGGGUGAAGGAACUAGGCAAAAUGGUGCCGUAACUUCGGGAGAAGGCACGCUGAUAUGUAGGUGAAGUCCCUCGCGGAUGGAGCUGAAAUCAGUCGAAGAUACCAGCUGGCUGCAACUGUUUAUUAAAAACACAGCACUGUGCAAACACGAAAGUGGACGUAUACGGUGUGACGCCUGCCCGGUGCCGGAAGGUUAAUUGAUGGGGUUAGCGGUAACGCGAAGCUCUUGAUCGAAGCCCCGGUAAACGGCGGCCGUAACUAUAACGGUCCUAAGGUAGCGAAAUUCCUUGUCGGGUAAGUUCCGACCUGCACGAAUGGCGUAAUGAUGGCCAGGCUGUCUCCACCCGAGACUCAGUGAAAUUGAACUCGCUGUGAAGAUGCAGUGUACCCGCGGCAAGACGGAAAGACCCCGUGAACCUUUACUAUAGCUUGACACUGAACAUUGAGCCUUGAUGUGUAGGAUAGGUGGGAGGCUUAGAAGUGUGGACGCCAGUCUGCAUGGAGCCGACCUUGAAAUACCACCCUUUAAUGUUUGAUGUUCUAACGUUGACCCGUAAUCCGGGUUGCGGACAGUGUCUGGUGGGUAGUUUGACUGGGGCGGUCUCCUCCUAAAGAGUAACGGAGGAGCACGAAGGUUGGCUAAUCCUGGUCGGACAUCAGGAGGUUAGUGCAAUGGCAUAAGCCAGCUUGACUGCGAGCGUGACGGCGCGAGCAGGUGCGAAAGCAGGUCAUAGUGAUCCGGUGGUUCUGAAUGGAAGGGCCAUCGCUCAACGGAUAAAAGGUACUCCGGGGAUAACAGGCUGAUACCGCCCAAGAGUUCAUAUCGACGGCGGUGUUUGGCACCUCGAUGUCGGCUCAUCACAUCCUGGGGCUGAAGUAGGUCCCAAGGGUAUGGCUGUUCGCCAUUUAAAGUGGUACGCGAGCUGGGUUUAGAACGUCGUGAGACAGUUCGGUCCCUAUCUGCCGUGGGCGCUGGAGAACUGAGGGGGGCUGCUCCUAGUACGAGAGGACCGGAGUGGACGCAUCACUGGUGUUCGGGUUGUCAUGCCAAUGGCACUGCCCGGUAGCUAAAUGCGGAAGAGAUAAGUGCUGAAAGCAUCUAAGCACGAAACUUGCCCCGAGAUGAGUUCUCCCUGACUCCUUGAGAGUCCUGAAGGAACGUUGAAGACGACGACGUUGAUAGGCCGGGUGUGUAAGCGCAGCGAUGCGUUGAGCUAACCGGUACUAAUGAACCGUGAGGCUUAACCUU
This 2908-nucleotide ribosomal RNA is filed under the name Shigella flexneri. Its description in RNAcentral is "bacterial LSU rRNA". It matches the Rfam family "Bacterial large subunit ribosomal RNA". The record is from RNAcentral. Lineage: Bacteria; Pseudomonadati; Pseudomonadota; Gammaproteobacteria; Enterobacterales; Enterobacteriaceae.